This 254-nucleotide ribosomal RNA is filed under the name uncultured bacterium. RNAcentral describes it as "partial 16S ribosomal RNA". It matches the Rfam family "Bacterial small subunit ribosomal RNA", at positions 524 to 776 of the family's 1533-position model. The record is from RNAcentral.
UACGUAGGGGGCAAGCGUUGUCCGGAAUCAUUGGGCGUAAAGCGCGUGUAGGCGGACUGGAAGGUCUGGUGUGAAAGCCCGGGGCUCAACCCCGGAGGGUCACUGGAAACCGACAGUCUCGAGUCCGGAAGAGGAGAGUGGAAUUCCUGGUGUAGCGGUGGAAUGCGCAGAUAUCAGGAGGAACACCUAUGGCGAAGGCAGCUCUCUGGUACGUGACUGACGCUGAGACGCGAAAAGCGUGGGGAGCGAACAGG